Molecule: long non-coding RNA, 2513 nt
Organism: Carya illinoinensis
Lineage: Eukaryota; Viridiplantae; Streptophyta; Magnoliopsida; Fagales; Juglandaceae
Exons: 2
Source: RefSeq, a predicted model, not a curated record
UAACCCGGUAAUCCGUAACCGGGUUAUACACCUGGUCAAAUUUUUUUUCCCCCAAAACGACACCGUUGUCUCACAUUUCGAACAAAAAUGACUCUCUCGAAGACUCAAACGAAUCUCAGUCUCACUCUUCAGUGAUCAGUCUGCUCUCACCCUCGUCACUGUCGUCUCUCAAGUUCUCAACCCUAGUCGUGGCGAUUGCAAAUCUGCCGUCUCUAUCUCGAAACCUAAGGUGUGUUAAUCUCUCUCUCUCUCUCUCUCUCUGUAUCUCUGUCUCUCUCGGUUUGGGUGGAUCCCUUUUAUGGGUUUAUGGUUGAUUUUUGCUUGGGUCAGCGCUAUCUCCAUGUGUUUUGUCUAAACUUAUUCUGAUUUAGUAGUACAGUUAUUUACAUGGAAGUCCCAAAAGGGAUUGCAAGAUUUAGCCUUUAAAUCUUAGGGUUUGCAUCAUCUAGCUUCAAGAACCAAUGGUUGUUGAGAAAUAGCAUUAGUAUUAUAGAUGGAUUUAAAUGCUAUUUCUAUAACAUCAAUAAUUUGUUAGGAGCUAAGCUCGUAUUUGUUCAAUGUUGUUCCGUAUAUCUGGUUGGGCAUUCAAUGUUAUUCAAUGUUGUUCCUUAUAUCUGGUUGGUAAAGCAUAAUGUAAUUUUUUGUAGACUCCUUCCCUUUUAUAAUUCAUCAAUUUUUUUGUAAUUUAAAUGCCCAUAUCUACAUUUAUUGUUCAUGACUAUCUACUCGAGCCAAAUUCAAGUUGUUCUGUAAAACUUGACCAAUGAGUUAAUCAAAUAGACAGACAACAGAGGCUUUUUAUUUUUCCACCGAUGGUAGGGGCCUUUUGGAUUAUUUUACACCUACUCUGGAGCACUUUUCAUGCCGUGAUUCAACUGGGCAUUAUAUGUAUGGGCACUUUUCAGGCUUUUUUUUUUUUUUUUUUGGCUUAAUUGAAUUGGUUGUACAUUGAGAUUGCAUAAAUAGAUAUUUACUUUGUGUAUUACUCUUUUGUUUUGGUUUCUCUCUCUUUUAUUUUCCCUUUGAGUUAAUUUCUGUUGUACUUACAAGAUAUCUUUGCUCAAUCUCUCUUCUCUCUUUGAUUAAAAUGCUUUACCAUCUGCUUGUUUACGGUUAAAACAAACACAUUUUGUGUAUUUAUAAGUGAGAAGAAACUGAAAAAUUUUCUCUUUAUCAUCCUUUUGCUUAAUUGAAUUGGUUGUAAAUUGAUAAAUGUGCAAAUUGAUACAUGCGCCUGUGAUCGUUGUGUCGUGGAGUUUAUUUCCUUUGAGUUUUGUUUUGUACUAAAAAUUUGCAAGAAAAAUGUAAAUCUUGAGAAUUGAAACAUGUUUUUCUACAAUUCAAGUGAAAAGAAAAUGAAUCACUCUGUUUUGCAAUUACUUUAAUUUGUUGAGUUUGGUAGCCUUUCUAGAUUCUAGCACAACCAUUUAUUUUAUAAUGACCAUUUAUGAGUUCCUGAUAAGGAUAUACUCAUACCUUGAACUUUAAGGAAUACAUAAUUAUUAAUCUUUUUUAUCUUUAAAUAAGAGUACUGCUAACCAAUCAUAUGAAACUUACUAUUUAAAUAAUCAUUUUGACGUGACACCAUUAUGUAGUGACACGAGAUUUAUUAAAAUAAAAAUGCUGUUUGCAUCACACAUUUUAUUACCCAGAAUAGUUGUCUACUAAUUAAUUACUAUUGAAGACUUCUUGCAGGAUGUUUAUUGGUACAUGCAAGAGGCUGAGAAUCAUGGUUCUGAUGCUGAGGUAGAAACAAUUUUUACGAAUAAUCAGUAAGAGGUACUCUAAAAUAACUUGACUUGCUAUGGAUAAUUGUUGUACCUUUGUAGCUGACAUGAUUUGGCAAUGUGGAAAUGUGUUUCAUUGUACGAGGAAAUGAAUGUUCUUUUUUUUUGGCAAUGAGGAAAUGUGUGUUUCAAUUUUCAUAGUAUCUGCCUAUGUUCACAGGAAGUUGUUGGUCAUUCUCUUCAACUGGUGCUAUAGAAGGAAUAAACGCCUUAGUCACUGGUGACCUUGUUAGCCUUUGAAUGGGUAAUAAGCAAUGGUGGGAUUGAUACAGAAGCUGAUUAUCCCUACACAGGUGUGGAUGGUACCUGCAACACUACUAAGGAGGAAACCAAAGUCGUAACUAUUGAUGGCUAUGAAGAUAUGUCAGAAUCAGACAGUGCUCUCUUGUGUGCUACUAUUCAGCAGCCCAUUAGUGUGGGUAUAGAUGGCUCCGCUAUGGACUUUCAACUAUAUCUGAAUGUAGUAUCUUUUAAUGUAUUCUGUUAUGCAUUGUUGGGUGACCCUUUGCACUCUUUUCUGAAAUAUCCAUAUGUCUAUAUGAUUUACUUUUUAAUUUGUUGAUUACAGGCCAUCCAUUUACCAGAUCAAAGUGAAAGAAAUCAAAUAUUCCCCCAAAUUCAAGAUUCAAGAUGUGAAGAGUUAUCAUAUUGUAUUAGUUUAAUUAGUUGUAAUGUAUUAUUAUUGAUUUUAUUUUUUGUAAAUUUAUGUUUUGCAUUGUGAUGUAA